ACUCCUACGGGAGGCAGCAGUGGGGAAUAUUGCGCAAUGGGCGAAAGCCUGACGCAGCCAUGCCGCGUGUGUGAAGAAGGCCUUCGGGUUGUAAAGCACUUUCAAUUGGGAAGAAAAAGCUGCUGCCUAAUAAAGCACAGCUGUGACAUACCUUAGAAGAAGCACCGGCUAACUCUGCCAGCAGCCGCGGUAAUACGGAGGGUGCGAGCGUUAAUCGGAAUUACUGGGCGUAAAAGCGCGCGUAGGCGGUUUGCUAAAGUCAGCUGUGAAAGCCCCGGGCUCAACCUGGGAAUUGCAGUGAUACUGGCCGACUAGAGUAUG
RNAcentral lists this ribosomal RNA (321 nucleotides) under uncultured bacterium. RNAcentral describes it as "bacterial SSU rRNA". It matches the Rfam family "Bacterial small subunit ribosomal RNA", at positions 335 to 650 of the family's 1533-position model. The record is from RNAcentral.